GGCGGACGGGUGAGUAAUGCCUGGGAAAUUGCCCUGAUGUGGGGGAUAACCAUUGGAAACGAUGGCUAAUACCGCAUAACGUCUACGGACCAAAGAGGGGGACCUUCGGGCCUCUCGCUUCAGGAUAUGCCCAGGUGGGAUUAGCUAGUUGGUGAGGUAAUGGCUCACCAAGGCGACGAUCCCUAGCUGGUCUGAGAGGAUGAUCAGCCACACUGGAACUGANACACGGUCCAGACUCCUACGGGAGGCAGCAGUGGGGAAUAUUGCACAAUGGGCGCAAGCCUGAUGCAGCCAUGCCGCGUGUAUGAAGAAGGCCUUCGGGUUGUAAAGUACUUUCAGUCGUGAGGAAGGCGUUGGAGUUAAUAGCUUCNUCGUUUGACGUUAGCGACAGAAGAAGCACCGGCUAACUCCGUGCCAGCAGCCGCGGUAAUACGGAGGGUGCGAGCGUUAAUCGGAAUUACUGGGCGUAAAGCGCAUGCANGUGGUUUGUUAAGUCNNAUGUGAAAGCCCGGGGCUCAACCUC
Molecule: ribosomal RNA, 523 nt
Filed under: Vibrio sp. HR04-44
Lineage: Bacteria; Pseudomonadati; Pseudomonadota; Gammaproteobacteria; Vibrionales; Vibrionaceae
Description: bacterial SSU rRNA
Rfam family: Bacterial small subunit ribosomal RNA
Source: RNAcentral